This 3913-nucleotide long non-coding RNA is filed under the name Lactuca sativa (garden lettuce). RNAcentral describes it as "long non-coding RNA (LSAT_LNC000755)". The record is from RNAcentral. Lineage: Eukaryota; Viridiplantae; Streptophyta; Magnoliopsida; Asterales; Asteraceae.
UUGAUUUGUGGAUUAAUUGCUAUGUUGUAUUGUUUUAUUUGUGGUUAAUUUAUCUUGUUAAGUUUUUUAAAAGAUCCUCAUGUGUUAAUGACAAUUAUUUUCUGUUAAUUAUUAAGUAUAUCGAGUUGUAUGAACGUCUGCUUGAUUGCUUGAUUGCUUGCUUGAUACGAACUGAACACUAGAAAACAUGUUAGUUUAAUCAAUUGAUCACUGCUUGAAUUGACUUGUUUGCUAAAGGAUUAGUAAUAAUGAACAUGAACCUAAUCAUUUUAGAAAUCGGUGAACAUGAAUAAAUAAAUCUGUGUGUGCAAUUUUCUAUGAAUUUAAGGUGUAAUCUAUCUAAACCAAAGUACCUAAAGAGAUUUGUCUUCCUGCCAGUUUAUCGAGAUUUGCUAUUUAGUUAUCCGUUUGAGAUUUGAUUAAACAUUUAUUUAUUCCUUCCGUAUGUUUUGUAACCUAUAAUCAAUUAUUUUAAAUUAAUUCACUACCGUUCCCCUUGUGUUCGACACCCUUGCUUAUCAAAGCUAUACUAUACUCGAUCGGGUUCUCUGCCUGUAAGGUGUGGUUUAGAUGCGAUAAAUUAGGACUUAUAAAUAAGAAACUAGUGCACUAAAUAUACACACCAAGUUUUUGGCGCCGUUGCCGGGGAGCGGUUUUCAAUCAAUUUACUUUAUUUGAUUAUUCGUUAUUUAUUUUUAUUUUUUUAGUUUUAUUUUAUUUUUAUUUUAUUUUCGUUGAUAUUAUGUCACUUUUCGGGAAGGUUUUUGUUGUUAUGUGCAGGAAUACGUGAUCAUAGGCAUUGCUUGGUUUUACUUUUUGCAUGGGUUUCGAGAUUACAAGCGAUUAGGGAAUUCUUGACUUAUUUAGUUUACUACUUUGUCCAACUCAAUCCACGAGGCGUAAUAUAGCAAGGCGUAUCAUGGUGGUUAACUGGAAGACCGAGCUCUUGCUGUUCUUGACUAGUUGGGUCAACUCUUGUUCUACUUUUAGUAAAUGGUUCAAAGAAAACAAAGGAAAUAGUCUGACAGGUCCCGAAAGUAUUUGUUUUCACAAACCACCUCUUGCAUGCAAGGGAUUUAAUCAACAAUUGUAGUUUGAUUUUGACGAAGACAUGUGAUCGUGAUAUCCUUUUUAGUUAUUUUGGUUUUUUAGUUAUUUUAGUGAGUUUUUAUUUUUAUUUUUAGUUUGUUUAAAUUUUGUUUUCCAUGUUGAUGCUCUUGAUGUUUCAGAUCUUUGAAGAAUUUUUACCCUUCAGAUGCUUUCAGAAAUUUCAAUAAUUGGGGUCGAAUGUUGAUUUGUCAUGAGAGAAAAAACCGUGUCAGAGUUUGAAGUGGACACUUGAGAGCCAUGACUUUCAAUAAGUGUGGGGUGCGCGUCGAUAUUUGGAGGGAUUAUUAUUUCGAAGAGUGGCGUUUCUAACUAUACAUUGAUUCCCAUGGCAUGGAUGAGCUAUUCCCACACCAUGAAGUUUUAUUUUGACGCGAUGUAGAAGUAUCAUCCCGACUGCCAUGACAUGGUUGACACUUUCCUAUGUCGUGGGGGAGUUUUUCAUCGCGAGAGGAGGCUGCUAUUCUACAUACCACGACGUGACCACCACUUACCACGUCGUGCCCAUGCUAUUAUUCGCGAUAUGGAUUUUUCCUCACUCGACGACACAACGUGGUUGACACUUUCCCACGUCAUGGUCACUAUACAUUGCUUUAGUUUGCAAUCGUUUGCAGCACAUUUCAUAAGUCAAUGUUCUUUUGUAUUUUCCAGUAGAUUCAGAAGCAGCAGUUCCAGUUUCUAGUGUUCCAGCAAUUUUCAGAGCAGCUUUUAGCAGCCCCAUUCGAUCUCGUCACUACUACCCCAGGGGAGUCUGUUCCUUUAUCUUUGUUUUUAUUAUUUUUAUGAGCUUAAUUAAUUUUAUGCAUACAAUGAGGACAUUGUAUUAAAUAAGUGUGGGGUAGGGGGUCGAAAAAGAAAAUUAAAAAUUGCUGGAUUAGGAAAAUUUAAAAAUUUAUAAACUUGAAAUAAUAGUUUAAUUUAGAAAUCUAGUGAUAAUUUAAAUCUAUGCUAAUAUUGUAUGAGAUGAUCUGAUGAGAACCCAAAUGUUUACCUGAGCCUACACAUGUUAUAGUGUAUUUGUGACUUCCCAUUUCCUAGUGAAAAGUCAUGAGAUAUGAAAGGUAAUCUGGUAGUUUAUAUGACAUAAUAUGUUUUGCAACCUAAACCUGAAACCUAUCCAGGAAAGCUUAUUUAGUCAUUACACAUAGACUAAUAUCUUAACCAAUAAGGGUUGAAGUUAAGCGCCCCUACUUAAGCAUGUAGGUAUUGAGUAAAAAAAAAAGUGAGUUACAUGAUAAAGAAAAAAGAGAGAGAAAUUACCAAAAAGUGAAAGAAUUUUGGAGCUAUCAAGUUGAAGAUCAAAAGAUCAAAAUUCUGAAGAAAUCCAAAAGUUGAAGAUACCAAAAAUCAAACAAAAAGUGGUGAAUUCAAAGAAAGCAAAUAUCAAAUAUUCAAAGAAGUGAAGAAUUCAAAUAGCUCCAUUGUGGUAUCAAAGUUGUAAUUUCUAGAAUUUAUGUAUACUUGGUUGUUUAGCCAAAAAUAUCUUGAGGUUAAGGAAGAUUUCUGAGGAUUGAUUCGGAGGGUUGCAGAAAUGAAUGUUGUAUAAAUUAAGGGGUGAAUGUUCAUAAGGAUUGUGAGUAUUUAGGAGUGAGAAGUUUCUUAGGAAUUAUAGACACAAAUACAUGCAUUGUGGUCUUGGGAUAAUGGCUGUGUUUGAAAUGGAUUAUUCUAUGCGAUAUUUAUGAGAUAAUAAAAUCAGAUUUGCUUGAGGGCAAGCAAAAGGCUAGUGUGGGGUAGUUUGAUAACGUCUAUUUUAUGCAUAUAUUUAUGAUGUUUUCUUAUUAUUUUAUACUAUGUUUUUAUGUUAUUUAGAACUAAAAGAUACUUAAUAUGCUUUGAAAUAUUCAAUUACAGUAAAAAUGGGAGCUGGAAUGCAAAAGGAAGAGAAUGGAGCUAAAAAGAUGCAAAAAGGAUAUUGCUGGCAGAUUGACCCCUCUUCAGUGUUUCGGGUAUAUCUGAUGACUCGCAAGUCCAAUUGACGAUAUUCAUAUUGUUCUGAAAACUAGACGAAAUUUCCUACGACUUAUGUGAGAGGGAGUUCUGGCUAACUCGACACUUAUCUUAUCCAAAAUCGGCCUUGAAGAUGAAGCAUAAAAGCUGGACGAAAAUUCCCUCCAAGUUACUUAUUCCCCAAGCACCACUUAUCUUAUUUUUAUUUGCUUAAUCCCUAAGCCACAUUAGUUUCCUUAUUCCAAUCCAAGUAUAAUAUUCCAUAUUAAUUCCAUCUCCAUUCAACUAUAAAUACCCCAUAUCAUUCCACCAUUUUUAAUAAUCUAUGAUAUUCUAUUUCGACUUGUGCAACAAGAAAACUUCAUAGCUGCCGUUUUUAGGGUCUAAAACGCGGCCGAAGGGCCGUUAAGCUGAUAUGGAGCAAAGAUCUAAGGGAUUAGAGAGCGGAUUCAUGUCGUUAAUCAUGUGGUUUUUUAUCGUGACCAUGUUUAGCAUUCCACUGUGAUACUACUAUGUUUUUACUUUCUGAUUUUGGUAUCAAAACCAUUUGCUUUGAGUUUAUGUUUAGAUAAAACCUUGAUUUGUGGAUUAAUUGAUAUAUUGUAUUGUUUUAUUUGUGUUUAAUUUAUCUUGUUAAGUUUGUUAAAACAUCCUCAUGUGUUAAUGACAAUUAUUUCUGUUAAUUAUUAAGUAUAUCUAGUUGUAUGAACGUCUGCUUGAUUGCUUGCCUCUUAUGAUUUUGAUGACCAUCAAGAUUAUAUGACUAGGAAUAGUGAACAUGAAACUAGGGUUAACUAGAAAAUAAGUAAAUUAAUGUGUGAGUAUAUGUGACGACCAACCACAUAUGAGCUAAUUG